UGGCAGAAGUACUGGACUUAG
This 21-nucleotide microRNA is filed under the name Oryza sativa (Asian cultivated rice). RNAcentral describes it as "osa-miR5519". The record is from miRBase by way of RNAcentral. Lineage: Eukaryota; Viridiplantae; Streptophyta; Magnoliopsida; Poales; Poaceae.